This 84-nucleotide small nucleolar RNA is filed under the name Aspergillus wentii DTO 134E9. Its description in RNAcentral is "A. fimigatus snoRNA Afu_199". It matches the Rfam family "A. fimigatus snoRNA Afu_199". Lineage: Eukaryota; Fungi; Ascomycota; Eurotiomycetes; Eurotiales; Aspergillaceae. The record is from Rfam by way of RNAcentral.
UCAAAUGACGAGAAAAAAAAUUCAAUUAGCUCUAGAUCCGUAGUCGCAUCUGCGGCAGUGACGGAUAAUAAUUUUAUCUGAUGA